Molecule: ribosomal RNA, 519 nt
Filed under: uncultured Actinomycetes bacterium
Lineage: Bacteria; Bacillati; Actinomycetota; Actinomycetes
Description: bacterial SSU rRNA
Rfam family: Bacterial small subunit ribosomal RNA
Source: RNAcentral
CUUGCGCAAUGGACGAAAGUCUGACGCAGCGACGCCGCGUGCGGGAUGAAGGCCCUCGGGUUGUAAACCGCUUUCAGCAGGGACGAAAUUGACGGUACCUGCAGAAGAAGCCCCGGCCAACUACGUGCCAGCAGCCGCGGUAAUACGUAGGGGGCAAGCGUUGUCCGGAUUUAUUGGGCGUAAAGAGCUCGUAGGUGGUUCGGUAAGUCGGAUGUGAAAUCUCCAGGCUCAACCUGGAGGGGUCAUUCGAUACUGCCGUGACUAGAGUUCGGUAGGGGAGUGUGGAAUUCCUGGUGGAGCGGUGAAAUGCGCAGAUAUCAGGAGGAACACCCGUAGCGAAGGCGGCACUCUGGGCCGAUACUGACACUGAGGAGCGAAAGCGUGGGGAGCGAACAGGAUUAGAUACCCUGGUAGUCCACGCCGUAAACGUUGGGCACUAGGUGUGGGACUCUAUCGACGGGUUCCGUGCCGUAGCUAACGCAUUAAGUGCCCCGCCUGGGGAGUACGGCCGCAAGGCUA